GAUGAACGCUGGCGGCGUGCUUAACACAUGCCAGUCGAACGAAGCACUUUAACCUGAUUCUUCGGAUGAAGGUUUUUGUGACUGAGUGGCGGACGGGUGAGUAACGCGUGGGUAACCUGCCUCAUACAGGGGGAUAACAGUUAGAAAUGACUGCUAAUACCGCAUAAGACCACAGAGCCGCAUGGCUCGGUGGGAAAAACUCCGGUGGUAUGAGAUGGACCCGCGUCUGAUUAGGUAGUUGGUGGGGUAACGGCCUACCAAGCCAACGAUCAGUAGCCGACCUGAGAGGGUGACCGGCCACAUUGGGACUGAGACACGGCCCAAACUCCUACGGGAGGCAGCAGUGGGGAAUAUUGCACAAUGGGGGAAACCCUGAUGCAGCGACGCCGCGUGAGCGAAGAAGUAUUUCGGUAUGUAAAGCUCUAUCAGCAGGGAAGAAAAUGACGGUACCUGACUAAGAAGCACCGGCUAAAUACGUG
This 479-nucleotide ribosomal RNA is filed under the name uncultured bacterium. RNAcentral describes it as "partial 16S ribosomal RNA". It matches the Rfam family "Bacterial small subunit ribosomal RNA", at positions 28 to 507 of the family's 1533-position model. The record is from RNAcentral.